AAACCCUGAAGCARCAAAUCCGGGUGAGUGAAGAAGGCCCUUGGGUUGUAAAGCUAUGUUCACUGGGGAGAAAUUAAUUAGUAUUAAUAGUAUUUUGUAUUGACGGUACCUUUAGAAGAAGCACCGGCUAAUUUCGUGCCAGCAGCCGCGGUAAUACGGGGGGUGCAAGCGUUGUUCGGAAUUAUUGGGCGUAAAGGGCGCGUAGGCGGUUUUGUCAGUCAGAUGUGAAAGCCCGGGGCUCAACCCUGGAAGUGCAUUUGAAACAGCAAGACUUGAAUACUGGAGGGGAGAGCGGAAUUCCUGGUGUAGAGGUGAAAUUCGUAGAUAUCAGGAGGAACACCGAUGGCGAAGGCRGCUUUCUGGACCGAUAUUGACGCUGAGGCUCGAAAGCGUGGGUAGCAAACRGGAUUAGAUACCCCGGUAGUCCACGCAGUAAACGAUGUUCACUCGCCGUAGCGGAUAUUAAAACCUGCAG
This 475-nucleotide ribosomal RNA is filed under the name uncultured bacterium. RNAcentral describes it as "bacterial SSU rRNA". It matches the Rfam family "Bacterial small subunit ribosomal RNA", at positions 378 to 843 of the family's 1533-position model. The record is from RNAcentral.